This is a long non-coding RNA of Mustela lutreola (European mink), 1485 nucleotides long. RefSeq lists it as uncharacterized. The record is from RefSeq and is a predicted model, not a curated record. Lineage: Eukaryota; Metazoa; Chordata; Mammalia; Carnivora; Mustelidae. The transcript is spliced from 4 exons.
UCCGCCAUGGCUUCCGCCUUGUGCCGCCGCCCCGGACCGCUGGGCGCGGGUGAAAGGUCGCUCAGAGCGGCGCCCGGCGCGACCAUUCGCUGCGGCGCAUCCCGGCAGCCACUGCGGCGACUGGGCGGCGGGUGCCAUGCGCCGGGAGUCUAGCAAUCUCAGCUCCCGCCCACCGCGCCCGCCCGCCCUCCGCGGUCACGCCUCGGACGGCGAGCACCUGCCAAGCAGGUUUCUUAAGCCUUCCUGAUUAACCAUUUGUAUGUGUGGACAAUAGCGAUCAAGCACCCAGUAGAAGAAAUAUUCUCAAAGUUAAAGAAGUUUUUUCUCUAGUCUUGGUGAACCAUGGCACUACCUCCAACCACCAGCAAUCAUAUCUCCUUGAAGCCUAAAGAGAUGACAUGAUACUUUAUAUGGAAAACCCAAAAGACUCUACUCCUAAACUACUAGAACUCAUAAAGCAAUUCAGUAAUGUGGAAGGAUACAAAAUCAAUGUACAGAAAUCAGUUGCUUUCUUAUACACUAACAAUGAAAGUACAGAAAGAGAAAUUAGAGAAUUGAUUCCAUUUACUAUAGAACAAAGAACUAUAAGAUACCUGGGAAUAAACCUAACUAAAGAGGUAAAGGGUCUGUACAUGAGGAACUACAGAACACUCAUGAAAGAAAUUGAAGAAGACACAAUAAGAUGGAAGACCAUUCCAUGCUCAUGGAUCGGAAGAAUAAACAUUGUUGAAAUGUCUAUACUGCCUAGAGCAAUCCAUACUUUCAAUGCCAUCCUGAUCAAAAUUCCACCGGCAUUUUUCUAAGAGCUGAAACAAACAAUCCUAAAAUUUGUAUGGAGCCAGAAGAGACCCCACAUUGCUAAGGAAAUGUUGAAAAAGGAAAGCAAAACUGGGGGCAUCACAUUGCCUGAUUUCAAGCUUUACUACAAAGCUGUGAUCAAGACAGUCUGGUACUGGCACAAAAACAGACACAUAGACCAGUGGAACAGAGUAGAGAGCCCAGAUAUGGACCCUCAACUCUAAGGUCAAAUACUCUACGACAAAGCGGGAAAAAUUAUACAGUGGAAAAAAGACAGUCUCUUCAAUAAAUGGUGCUGGGAAAAUUGGACAGCUACAUGUAGAAGAAUGAAACUCAACCAUUCUCUUACACCAUACACAAAGAUAAACUCGAAAUGGAUAAAAGACCCCAGUGUGAGACAGGAAUCUGUCAAAAUUCUAGAGGAGGACAUAGGGAGUAAUCUCUUCAACAUUGGCCACAGCAAAUUCUUUCAAGAUAUGUCUCCAAAGGCAAAGGAAACAAAAGUGAAAAUGAACUUUUGGGACUUCAUCACUUGCGUUACUUUUAAACUGUGUCUGGGUUUUAAAACCUACUGAUUUUGUUUCCUUAAAAUAAUUUACUGUUAAAUGUUGACUUACAGUACCAGCAUGUUUCAUUGUACUGAAUUACUGUGAAAACAGCAAAUAUUUUGAAGACGUUUAUGGUCAA